AGACGGACUCUGCCAUCACUUACUUACUGUAAAUGAGCAACUUUACGAAAACGAAUCUGUUGAUGUUUUUGGUCGCUCUUUGACAAAGUGCUUUCUUCUUUUUGAUUCAAAUUGUCAUCAUCUCAAACUACAGCUGGAGGUAAAGAAAGAAA
Amphimedon queenslandica is the source of this 152-nucleotide long non-coding RNA. RefSeq lists it as uncharacterized. The transcript is spliced from 2 exons. Lineage: Eukaryota; Metazoa; Porifera; Demospongiae; Haplosclerida; Niphatidae. The record is from RefSeq and is a predicted model, not a curated record.